GACGAACGCUGGCGGCGUGCUUAACACAUGCAAGUCGAACGGAAAGGCCCUGCUUUUGUGGGGUGCUCGAGUGGCGAACGGGUGAGUAACACGUGAGUAACCUGCCCUUGACUUUCGGAUAACUUCAGGAAACUGGGGCUAAUACCGGAUAGGAGCUCCUGCUUCAUGGUGUGGGUUGGAAAGGUUCGGCGGUUGGGGAUGGACUCGCGGCUUAUCAGCUUGUUGGUGGGGUAGUGGCUUACCAAGGCUUUGACGGGUAGCCGGCCUGAGAGGGUGACCGGCCACAUUGGGACUGAGAUACGGCCCAGACUCCUACGGGAGGCAGCAGUGGGGAAUAUUGCACAAUGGGCGGAAGCCUGAGGCAGCAACGCCGCGUGCGGGAUGACGGCAUUCGGGUUGUAAACCGCUUUCGCCUGUGACGAAGCGUGAGUGACGGUAAUGGGUAAAGAAGCACCGGCUAACUACGUG
This 468-nucleotide ribosomal RNA is filed under the name uncultured bacterium. RNAcentral's name for it is "partial 16S ribosomal RNA". It matches the Rfam family "Bacterial small subunit ribosomal RNA", at positions 28 to 507 of the family's 1533-position model. The record is from RNAcentral.